CCUACGGGAGGCAGCAGUGGGGAAUAUUGCACAAUGGGGGAAACCCUGAUGCAGCGACGCCGCGUGAGUGAAGAAGUAUUUCGGUAUGUAAAGCUCUAUCAGUAGGGAAGAAAAUGACGGUACCUGACUAAGAAGCCCCGGCUAACUACGUGCCAGCAGCCGCGGUAAUACGUAGGGGGCAAGCGUUAUCCGGAUUUACUGGGUGUAAAGGGAGCGUAGACGGCAGAGCAAGUCUGAAGUGAAAGCCCGGGGCCCAACUGCGGGACUGCUUUGGAAACUGCCCGGCUAGAGUGCUGGAGAGGUAAGCGGAAUUCCUAGUGUAGCGGUGAAAUGCGUAGAUAUUAGGAGGAACACCAGUGGCGAAGGCGGCUUACUGGACAGUAACUGACGUUGAGGCUCGAAAGCGUGGGGAGCAAACAGGAUUAGAUACCCGGGUAGUC
This 440-nucleotide ribosomal RNA is filed under the name uncultured bacterium. RNAcentral's name for it is "partial 16S ribosomal RNA". It matches the Rfam family "Bacterial small subunit ribosomal RNA", at positions 338 to 795 of the family's 1533-position model. The record is from RNAcentral.